This 253-nucleotide ribosomal RNA is filed under the name uncultured bacterium. Its description in RNAcentral is "partial 16S ribosomal RNA". It matches the Rfam family "Bacterial small subunit ribosomal RNA", at positions 524 to 776 of the family's 1533-position model. The record is from RNAcentral.
UACAUAGGGUGCAAGCGUUAAUCCGAAUUACUGGGCGUAAAGCGUGCGUAGGCGGUUAUUUAAGUCUGAUGUGAAGGCCCUCGGCUCAACUGGGGAAUUGCAUUGGAAACUAGCUGGCUGGAGUACCGGAGAGGGAAGCGGAAUUCCUGGUGUAGCGGUGAAAUGCGUAGAUACCAGGAGGAACACCGGUGGCGAAGGCGGCUUCCUGGCCGAGUACUGACGCUGAGGCACGAAAGCGUGGGGAGCGAACGGG